RNAcentral lists this ribosomal RNA (483 nucleotides) under uncultured bacterium. RNAcentral's name for it is "bacterial SSU rRNA". It matches the Rfam family "Bacterial small subunit ribosomal RNA", at positions 41 to 519 of the family's 1533-position model. The record is from RNAcentral.
GGCAUGCGUUACACAUGCAAAUCGAACGGCAGCACGGGAGCAAUCCUGGUGGCGAGUGGCGAACGGGUGAGUAAUAUAUCGGAACGUGCCCAGUCGUGGGGGAUAACGUAGAGAAAUUUACGCUAAUACCGCAUACGAUCUAAGGAUGAAAGCGGGGGAUCGCAAGACCUCGCGCGAUUGGAGCGGCUGAUAUCAGAUUAGGUUGUUGGUGAGGUAAAAGCUCACCAAGCCGACGAUCUGUAGCUGGUUUGAGAGAACGACCAGCCACACUGGGACUGAGACACGGCCCAGACUCCUACGGGAGGCAGCAGUGGGGAAUUUUGGACAAUGGGCGAAAGCCUGAUCCAGCAAUGCCGCGUGCAGGAAGAAGGCCUUCGGGUUGUAAACUGCUUUUGUACGGAACGAAACGGUCUGCCUUAAUACGGUGGGCUAAUGACGGUACCGUAAGAAUAAGCACCGGCUAACUACGUGCCAGCAGACGGG